RNAcentral lists this ribosomal RNA (161 nucleotides) under uncultured bacterium. Its description in RNAcentral is "partial 16S rRNA". It matches the Rfam family "Bacterial small subunit ribosomal RNA", at positions 358 to 511 of the family's 1533-position model. The record is from RNAcentral.
GGAAUCUUCGGCAAUGGGGGCAACCCUGACCGAGCAACGCCGCGUGAGUGAAGAAGGUUUUCGGAUCGUAAAACUCUGUUGUUAGAGAAGAACACGAGUGAGAGUAACUGUUCAUUCGAUGACGGUAUCUAACCAGCAAGUCACGGCUAACUACGUGCCAG